UCUAGAAUUCUCUUCAUUUUCAUCAGCUGAAAAAUAGCCAUGGAAGAGGGUUCAAGUUGGUUUUCAUACUCUAGCUUCAUGUAAGUUUAAUUCCUGCUUUCUCCUUGAAAUUUCUAUGUUUUUGGACUUUUACAAUUGGGCCCACCUUACUAUUUCAUUAGUUUUUGAUUUCAUGGCUAAUUUUUAAAGUUGUUAUGGAUGAGUGCUGGAAGCACAUGAUGAAUAAAUAUAGAAUUGAAGCUUUUUUUUUAUAUAUGAUAAUUUUAUCAAGUAAAAUUGAUGGAAAUUGAUUUGAGGACCUAAUUGUGAAAAUGUUUGGAAUUAAAGUCUAGUGCUGAAAUUAUGAUUUCCAAGGGUUGUAAAGUAUUUUAAAGUGAUAGAAUAAAGUGUUAAUUGAGAAAAAUCAGCUCAAUUGAGAGGCUAAUUGAGUAGGGAUGAAAUUGUUAAUUAUUACAAGCUUAGGGAAAAAAUGGUAAUAAACAGCUUGCACUAAAACAAUUUUGGACAGCAGCAAUAGACUAAAUUUGAAAAAUCACUAUAAAUUGUAUAAAUAAAAUUAGAAGAUGAACAAAAUAUGAAAUUAAAGCUUAUUGAGUCUAGUUUCUUAUAGAAGAAACAGUGUAAGCAAUGAAUUUGUAAAUCAUGAGAUAUAAUAAAUUUUGUGAGACAAGAUUAGAAUGAAUUUGGGUUCCCCUAUUUUGACUUUGAAAAAUCAUAAAAAAUUGAAUAAAAAUAAUUAUGGGCUUAAAUUUAUAUUUCUAGAAUCCUGAAUGAGUCUAUUUUCAAGACAUACAAACGGGAACACCAUUCCUAUCCUGUAUGAAGAGAUAAUUAAUUUUUAGUGAAGAAUGGUCAAAACUGUCAGACAGCAGAACAGGGGUGACUUUAAAGAAUAAACUGUACUUAUUAGCUAAACUAAAAAUUCUGAAAUUUUUAUGGUAAGAAUAUAUGUGAGUCUAGUUUCAGGUAAAAUUAGCGGAUCUUAAUUUGGAGUUCUGUAGAUCCAGAUAUAAAUAAUUUAGUGACUAUGACACGGGUGGAUAGCUUGAAUAUUCACAUUAGUUAUUAGUGAAAAUUAUGGAUAAGGUUACUUACAAGUGUGUUAUUUAUACCAAGGAUGUGGAUGGAGAGGAGGAGGAGGAAAAAUAUAUGAAUGACUCAUGUAUAAAUUGAUCACAUGCCCGAUUAUAAUCGAUAAGUGUUGAAUUAGAAAUGAUAUAAUAUUUUAUGAAAUUAUGAUUAUCGUUAUAAUACAAAAAUUGAACUUGUGAGUUUAUAUGGCUAAAUUUUAGUGAUUAUUUGUUAAUUUUAUGAAUUUCAUGAUGUGUUAGUUCAUAUGUAUUGAUGAUAAAAUCAUGAAUAAUGUAAAAGCAUGAAAAUUGAAUAAAUGAUCAAAUUGAGCACUUCAGUUCAGUGACAAGAUGAAUUGACGGAAAAGACCAUGGUUGGACCAUGGCAACAAGUGAUAAGUGAUAGCUUUGGCUACACUUAUCUGAUCAAGGAUAAGUGAAAGUGAUAAGUGAUAGUGUAAUAUCCCGAAUUAGGACCUAAUCGGAAUAGUGGUUUUGUGACCACAAAUUCGAGAUAGAAAUAAUUAUUUUAUAAUUAUUUUGAGGUUUAUGAUAUGAUUGCAUGAUUGUGUGAAAAUUUCGUGACGAAAUUAUAUGCAUAAAGUGGUUAAGUUGAAAUUAGGGACUAAAUCGAAUAAUUUGCAAAACUUGCAUUCUAGAAUUUUUUAGUAUGAAAUUGCUUUGAAAUAUUAAUGAGGAGGUCUUAAAUAGAAAUUUAACCAAUUUCUAAGUUUAUGGACAAAAAUUGGACAUGGAUGGAAUUUUUGAAAGUUUAGUAAGGAAAGGCAUUUUGGUCAUUUGGAUAUUAAAUGGAAUAAAAUGGGAAAAAUAACAUAAAAAUGAUCAUCUUCUCCAUAAGUUGCUGCCAAAUUUUUCUCUCCACCAUAGCUAGGGUUUCAACACUUUUAAGCCUUGAUUGUAAGUGAUUUCUAUGCCCGUUUUUAAUGAUUUUUAUGUUUUUGAAAUUCCGGUAGCUCGAUUUAGCUUAUGCUAGCAAUAAUUCAACCUAGGGUUCAUAUUUGGAAAAAUACCCAUAGGUGAAAUUUGUGUAUUUUGGUGUUUUAUGAUAGAAUAUGAGGUUUUAAAUUAUGCUAGACAACUUGUGCUACUCGGUUUUAAGUGAAAACGAGUAAAAGGGCUUAAUCUGUAAAAAUACCUAAUAUUCAUAAGUACAUGUUAGAGUGUGAAUUUGAUGUUGCCAUAGAAUGGAAAAAUGAUCAACAUGUCAUAAAAAAUAAGAAAAUAGGAUGAGGUUUAAUUUAUGAGCCUUGGGGCAAAAAUGCAAAUAUGUGAAAGUUUAGGGGCAAAAUGCUAAUUUUUCCAAAGUUUGUAUUAGGGGCUGUUUUGAUGAAUGAAUGUAUUAAAUAAAUUAAUUUGGCAUUAUAGAUCAAGAGAAACGAGAUUCAAGUCGCAAUCGAGGGAAAAACAAAGUUUAUGAGGAAUAGGCUCGAUUGCUAAUAUUUUGUAUCGAGGUAAGUUCAUGUGUAAAUAAGGUAACAUAGUUUUUAUUUUAAGUGAUUUAAUGUUAUUUAUAUGACAUGAUACUUAUUAUCAUGAAAUAUGAUGUUUUGUGAAUUAUUAUUUGGUGAUAUGCAAAUUAUGUGAACAACUUGAUAAGUAUGAGAAGUUAGCAAGUAUUGGUUUCUACAUUUCAAAAAAGGCGAUCAAAAUGUGUAAUUGAAAAGAAUCCUAUUUGAACCUUGGGAAUAGAUUAGGGUACAAGUGACAUGUCACUAGGAUGGUUGAGUUCCGAACUCGUUGAGUUGAGUCCGAGUUCACUUAUGGAUGCGAACGCCCGAGUUCGUUGAGUUGAGUCCGAGUUUGUUUAUGGGCGGGUUACAUGGUACCUUGGCUACAUAGAUUUCAAAAGCUAUUGAGCUUGUUUAGCUAUGAGUAAAGCACUUAUGUGCACAUUAUCCGUGUAUCCAAAAUCAUAUUCCGAUGUGUUCAACGGGAGAUCUCUAAUAGAAUAAGGAGAAUGCCUAAUACGAAGGUGACAUGUUGGUAAGUGUGGUGAAUAAGAAAAUUUGGCAGGUAUGUGUUUAAACCCUCGGGUUGAGAACUUAGUAUGAUGAAAUUGUAGUAAGAUAUUAAAUGCAAAUGUAACAUGAAUGUCUUGGUGUUGUUUAUGCAAAUAAUGUUUAUGUUGAAUGGCAUGAUUAUGUUACUUGUUAUUUGCAUGUGAACUUACUAAGCAUUUAUGCUUACUCCCUCCUUUUCCUUCAUUGUAGUUUUGACAAGCCGGCUUGAGAAUCAGGAUAGGUCGAAGGCUCGCUCACACUAUCCGAAGACCUAAAUUGGUAAAAUGGCUUGUAUAUUUUGAGUGUGGCAUGUGUAGCAAUAUACUCACUUUGUGUAAAUGAUCAUAUGAUAUGGUUAUGGUUUGGUAAGAAAAGGGUUUGUAAAUGAUUAGCUAUUGGAAUGGCUAAUCGAGUUUAUAUAUGAUAACAUGUAUGCUUUAUGUCUUAACUAAACCAUGAAAAUCCUUG
Molecule: long non-coding RNA, 3559 nt
Filed under: Gossypium barbadense (sea-island cotton)
Lineage: Eukaryota; Viridiplantae; Streptophyta; Magnoliopsida; Malvales; Malvaceae
Description: long non-coding RNA (GBAR_LNC008466)
Source: RNAcentral